RNAcentral lists this ribosomal RNA (204 nucleotides) under uncultured bacterium. RNAcentral's name for it is "partial 16S ribosomal RNA". It matches the Rfam family "Bacterial small subunit ribosomal RNA", at positions 332 to 526 of the family's 1533-position model. The record is from RNAcentral.
AUUACUCCUACGGGAGGCAGCAGUAGGGAAUCUUCCACAAUGGGUGAAAACCUGAUGGAGCAAUGCCGCGUGAAUGAAGAAGGUCUUCGGAUCGUAAAGUUCUGUUAUUAGAGAAUAACAAGUCAAGGAGUAACUGUCUUGGCUUUGACGGUACCUAACCAGAAAGUCACGGCUAACUACGUGCCAGCAGCCGCGGUAAUAAUC